Molecule: ribosomal RNA, 450 nt
Filed under: uncultured bacterium
Lineage: Bacteria
Description: partial 16S ribosomal RNA
Rfam family: Bacterial small subunit ribosomal RNA
Source: RNAcentral
GUGGGGAAUAUUGGACAAUGGGCGAAAGCCUGAUCCAGCCAUGCCGCGUGUGUGAAGAAGGUCUUCGGAUUGUAAAGCACUUUAAGUUGGGAGGAAGGGCAGUAAGUUAAUACCUUGCUGUUUUGACGUUACCGACAGAAUAAGCACCGGCUAACUUCGUGCCAGCAGCCGCGGUAAUACGAAGGGUGCAAGCGUUAAUCGGAAUUACUGGGCGUAAAGCGCGCGUAGGGGGUUUUGUAAGUUGGAGGUGAAAUCCCCGGGCUCAACCUGGGAACUGCCUCCAAAACUGCAUGACUAGAGUACGGUAGAGGGUAGUGGAAUUUCCUGUGUAGCGGUGAAAUGCGUAGAUAUAGGAAGGAACACCAGUGGCGAAGGCGACUACCUGGACUGAUACUGACACUGAGGUGCGAAAGCGUGGGGAGCAAACAGGAUUAGAUACCCCUGUAGUCC